GGCAAAACCGUGAAGUACAGUAGAUUAGUAUGGUCGGCUGAUCCUACUGAUCUACUCUACUUCAGAUAUGGCCC
Molecule: non-coding RNA, 74 nt
Organism: Haemonchus contortus (barber pole worm)
Lineage: Eukaryota; Metazoa; Nematoda; Chromadorea; Rhabditida; Trichostrongylidae
Source: Rfam